This 78-nucleotide ribosomal RNA is filed under the name Triticum aestivum (bread wheat). RNAcentral describes it as "partial small subunit ribosomal RNA". Lineage: Eukaryota; Viridiplantae; Streptophyta; Magnoliopsida; Poales; Poaceae. The record is from RNAcentral.
CAACCGCUCAGACAUCCAUCCCUACGCUCGCCCGCCCUAUCUAUCUGCGCGCUGGCAGGUAGGGGCAACUCUAUGUGA